Molecule: long non-coding RNA, 126 nt
Organism: Corapipo altera (White-ruffed manakin)
Lineage: Eukaryota; Metazoa; Chordata; Aves; Passeriformes; Pipridae
Exons: 3
Source: RefSeq, a predicted model, not a curated record
CCACAAGAGAGGAGCCCCGAAGAGAAGAUACAAGGACUCCCUGAUGCAACAUCUCAGCCUUGGCCACACUGAUCUUCAUCGCUGGUCUACCUUGGCCUCCAGUCAGGAGGCUGGCCAUGUCUCUGG